AAGGGGAAAGUAAAGCUGGCAGCC
This 24-nucleotide non-coding RNA is filed under the name Cricetulus griseus (Chinese hamster). The record is from RNAcentral. Lineage: Eukaryota; Metazoa; Chordata; Mammalia; Rodentia; Cricetidae.